This 706-nucleotide long non-coding RNA is filed under the name Cricetulus griseus (Chinese hamster). Its description in RNAcentral is "lncRNA (ENSCGRG00000024367.1)". Lineage: Eukaryota; Metazoa; Chordata; Mammalia; Rodentia; Cricetidae. The record is from RNAcentral.
CCGGGUUGCAGACCGUUAUGGUCUGGGAGGAGCGGAGGUGUAAAAGAAGAGCUCAAACUUGGGAGGGUCACUUCUUUCUUUCUUUUUCCAGACAGGGGUUCUCUGUGUAGCCCUGACUGGCCUCGAGGUCCGCCUGCCUCUGCCUCCCGAGUGCUGGGAUUAAAGGCGUGCGCCACCACCUCCCGGCCUCCAUUUCUUGUUUACACUCGGUUUUAAGGCAGUUUUCGGUUCCCUCUGUCCCCGAGUCAACAGGAUAUGUCACAAGAGCUUUUAUCAAAGGCACCACCACCUCACAGACACACGACUAAGAAAUCACUCCAAUCUGUUAGACUAUUGCCCUGGAGAGAGGUAUUGGGGGAUGUAUUUGGGCACAGAAGUAACUGAAUUUCCUGAUGGACUGGAUAUGGAGGCAGGGAGAAGAUGAAGAGAGGGAUGAAUUCCAGGCAAGUCGGUAGAAAUGAAUUACAUUUACUGGCAUAUGCAGAGGAAGGAGCUUUGCUAAUGCAGACUUUGUUGUUGUCGUUUUUUUUAGGGACAAAGAGUUAAUUACUUUGGUUUAUAGUACCAGAGGGAUAGAGUUCAUGGUGGCAGGGAAGACAUGGCAGCGGACGUGGAAAGCUUGGUGGCAGGUACAGGAACCUGGCUCAUUAGACUGCAUCCACAUUCAGGAAGCAGACCUAUUCAUAGUUGGAGACAGGGGCUCUCU